This 83-nucleotide transfer RNA is filed under the name Spirochaetia bacterium. RNAcentral describes it as "tRNA-Leu". The record is from RNAcentral. Lineage: Bacteria; Pseudomonadati; Spirochaetota; Spirochaetia.
GCCCGGGUGGUGAAAUUGGUAGACACGAGAGUUUCAGGUACUAGAGCUCGCAAGGGUGUAGGGGUUCGAGUCCCCUUCNNACA